Molecule: non-coding RNA, 333 nt
Organism: Nelumbo nucifera (sacred lotus)
Lineage: Eukaryota; Viridiplantae; Streptophyta; Magnoliopsida; Proteales; Nelumbonaceae
Source: RefSeq, a predicted model, not a curated record
CCCAUCCAAAUAUUCAAGAGAUAGUAAAAUCGACUAUGUUUAGAUGCUCUCCCUGAGAUAUAAUCAAAUAAACAUUUUACUUUUAAAUUUAUUCAAGGAAAUAGGGAAUGCUUAAUAUUCCCAAAAAAAAUAAUUUGGGUAGAAUAAUUUAAAAACAAAAGACAAUGGAAAAUGAAGAAAGAAUUGAUACCAAAACACACCAUGUUCACGUGGUAAGAGUUUUAGAAUGCUGAACUUAGAAAACUCAGAAGGAGCAAAAAUUUUGGGAGGGAUGAGAGUGUAUACUCAAAGAUGGUUCCUUUGAUGGUUUGAUCUACUGCAUAAAAAAUGGGA